RNAcentral lists this unclassified non-coding RNA (249 nucleotides) under uncultured fungus. RNAcentral describes it as "partial contains 18S rRNA, ITS1, 5.8S rRNA, ITS2 and 28S rRNA". The record is from RNAcentral. Lineage: Eukaryota; Fungi.
AAGGAUCAUUACCGAGUUAGGGUCGCCUUCCGGGUGCCCGACCUCCCAACCCUAUGUCUAAAAUACCUCAGUUGCUUCGGUGGGCCGGGCGCGACCAACUGGCUUCGUGACCGGUGGCCGGGGGAUACCCCGGCGGCAGAGUGCCCACCGAUGGCCUCCAUAAAACUCUUGAUAACCUAAACCUGUCGUCUGAAUGUACUUGAUAUUGAAUCAAAAACAAAACUUUCAACAACGGAUCUCUUGGUUCUG